Arabidopsis lyrata subsp. lyrata is the source of this 1436-nucleotide long non-coding RNA. RefSeq lists it as uncharacterized. The record is from RefSeq and is a predicted model, not a curated record. Lineage: Eukaryota; Viridiplantae; Streptophyta; Magnoliopsida; Brassicales; Brassicaceae. The transcript has 3 exons.
CAAAACCAAAAAAAAAUUCACUCUCCUGUGAUUUUUUCCCGACAUUAUUUCCAUCUCUCUCUCUUGAUCUCUCUGGACACCUUUGCGACAAAAAUGAGGAGAUUCGAAAUCUGUUCGAUUCCGGUGGAGAUAUCGGUGAAUUUUCUCCAUCGGUUUUGGUUGAUCUUGUGAUCUCGAGAGGAAGAAGUCUCUGAACCGCCUUGUCGUCGAUGAGGCUUCAACGAUGAUAACUCCGUCGUAUCUCUUCACCCUGCAACCAUGGAGAAGCUUCAGCUCUUCCGUGAUGAUACCAUUCUCUUCAAGGUUUGGUUUGCUUUUCUUCGUUUGGAUUCCGAGCUCAACUAUCCGUCGUUUGCAGUCACGAUCAACAGAGGUGGAGGCGGCGCGUACACAUACACGCGUAUCGUAACGAGCGUGGGAGGAGCUGGAACUUACACGGUUAAAGUCAUGUCUGAUGUUAAGGCGGUCAACAUUUCGGUCGAACCGGCGGUUUUGGAUUUCAAUAAUGUCAAUGAGAAGAGAUCGUAUUCGGUUAUCUUCACCGUGAAUCCAUCAAUGCCUUCUGGAACCAACAGCUUUGGUAGCAUUGAGUGGUCGGAUGGUAAACACUUGGUUCGAAGCCCCGUGGCUCUAACCUGGACUUAAUAUUUAGUGGUAAAGAAACUUGAGGGACUAAUGAAAGAAGGUGUAACAGAUAUUGUAAUGCCCUCUAUUAAGUGUUUUAAAUUUUAAGCUUUGAAAUAAUUUUGUCGCUGUUAAUCACUAUUUGUUUCAAACAGUAGAAUACUAGAAUGGUUGGAAACUUCAAAUUGAUGAAAAAGAAGUUUAAUGAACUGGUUGCUCUGUUCCGGAUAGGAAGAUUUGGAGACUUUGGUGAUUUAUUUCUGUCCAUUGAGGGUUGUUGUUGCCAUGCUAGGAGAAAGAUGAUCUUCUGGUGAGUUUUAAUUGGCAACCGCAGCUGUAAUGAAAUCUAAAGAAUAGGUGACUCUUUGUUUCCAUAUCAGAGUUACAGAGGUUUGCAAUCCCAAAUUCGAGACUCUUGUCUUUGGUCAGGCACCGGUUCAGAACAUUUCCAACAACUGCCUUAAGUCCAUGGGUACCAUGUAGCACAGAUUGAGUUUGGCAUGAAGAUAAAAGUAUCCUGAUCAACUUCAGAGUGUUCCAUAGGAAUUCACUGCACAAUGAAUUUAUUUGUUUUAUGCCCAACGGAGAGAGUGUUUGGGCAUGAAUCGUAAAUAAGAUAAGAAAAUAUUAAUGGGCUCAAUCAAGUCUCAUAAGGCCCAAUCUCUCAACGUACCAAACCAACAAAUUAGAAUCUUUUUUUUUUUUUUUUCUUUUUCUUUUCUUGCAAAAUAUGCAAUCUUUUCGUUGGGCGAAUGAUUGUUUUAUAUUUUUUUGUAGCAUUGAGAUUACGAUUUGGGAAAUUUAUGUUUGAU